UACGUAGGGGGCUAGCGUUGUCCGGAAUCAUUGGGCGUAAAGCGCGUGUAGGCGGUUCGGUAAGUCCGCUGUGAAAGUCGGGGGCUCAACCCUCGGAUGCCGGUGGAUACUGUCGGACUAGAGUACGGAAGAGGCGAGUGGAAUUCCUGGUGUAGCGGUGAAAUGCGCAGAUAUCAGGAGGAACACCGAUUGCGAAGGCAGCUCGCUGGGACGUUACUGGCGCUGAGACGCGAAAGCGUGGGGAGCAAACAGG
RNAcentral lists this ribosomal RNA (253 nucleotides) under uncultured bacterium. RNAcentral describes it as "partial 16S ribosomal RNA". It matches the Rfam family "Bacterial small subunit ribosomal RNA", at positions 524 to 776 of the family's 1533-position model. The record is from RNAcentral.